GACGAACGCUGGCGGCGUGCUUAACACAUGCAAGUCGAACGGAAAGGCCCUGCUUUUGUGGGGUGCUCGAGUUGCGAACGGGUGAGUAACACGUGAGUAACCUGCCCUUGACUUUGGGAUAACUUCAGGACACUUGGGCUAAUACCGGAUAGGAGUUCCUGCUGCAUGGUGGGGGUUGGUAAGUUUCGGCGGUUGGGGAUGGACUCGCGUCUUAUCAGCUUGUUGGUGGGGUAGUGGCUUACCAAGGCCUUGACGGGUAGCCGGCCUGAUAGGGUGACCGGACACAUUGGGACUGAGAUACGGCCCAGACUCGUACGGGAGGGAGCGGAGGGGAAUAUUGCACAAUGGGCGGAAGCAUGAUGCAGCACAGCAGCGUGGGGGAUGACGGCAUUCGGGUUGUAUACCGAUUUCGCCUGUGACGAAGCGUGAGUGACGGUAAUGGGUAAAGAAGCACCGGCUAACUACGUG
This 468-nucleotide ribosomal RNA is filed under the name uncultured bacterium. Its description in RNAcentral is "partial 16S ribosomal RNA". It matches the Rfam family "Bacterial small subunit ribosomal RNA", at positions 28 to 507 of the family's 1533-position model. The record is from RNAcentral.